This 532-nucleotide ribosomal RNA is filed under the name uncultured bacterium. RNAcentral's name for it is "bacterial SSU rRNA". It matches the Rfam family "Bacterial small subunit ribosomal RNA", at positions 62 to 575 of the family's 1533-position model. The record is from RNAcentral.
UAGAACGCUGAAGGAGGAGCUUGCUUCUCUGGAUGAGUUGCGAACGGGUGAGUAACGCGUAGGUAACCUGCCUGGUAGUGGGGGAUAACUAUUGGAAACGAUAGCUAAUACCGCAUAACAGUAGAUAUUGCAUGAUAUCUGCUUGAAAGGUGCAAUUGCAUCACUACCAGAUGGACCUGCGUUGUAUUAGCUAGUUGGUGAGGUAACGGCUCACCAAGGCGACGAUACAUAGCCGACCUGGGCAGAGGGUGAUCGGCCACACUGGGACUGAGACACGGCCCAGACUCCUACGGGAGGCAGCAGUAGGGAAUCUUCGGCAAUGGACGGAAGUCUGACCGAGCAACGCCGCGUGAGUGAAGAAGGUUUUCGGAUCGUAAAGCUCUGUUGUAAGAGAAGAACGAGUGUGAGAGUGGAAAGUUCACACUGUGACGGUAUCUUACCAGAAAGGGACGGCUAACUACGUGCCAGCAGCCGCGGUAAUACGUAGGUCCCGAGCGUUGUCCGGAUUUAUUGGGCGUAAAGCGAGCGCAGG